RNAcentral lists this long non-coding RNA (623 nucleotides) under Homo sapiens (human). Its description in RNAcentral is "long independently transcribed non-coding RNA 446 (LINC00446)". Lineage: Eukaryota; Metazoa; Chordata; Mammalia; Primates; Hominidae. The record is from RNAcentral.
GAGCAAGUACCAUUUUAUGAAUAAAGCACCAUUGAAGUCAUUGCUAUUCCUUGAAGCCAAAAAAGUGUCAGUAAAACCCAGUCAGAAUUACCAUCUUCUGAACUCCAUGCGAGAAAACUCCAUUACUCCCAGAUACUGUUGGAUCUUCCACCAGAUUUACUCUGUGGCCCUCCGAGACUUCGUGUAACAGCAACUGCAUUUUAAUGCAAUGGCAGCUAUGGAAAACACAAAACUAUCAGUCAUUGUCAAAUACUCCAUAAAUGGAGACAGAGAAGGGGUUCAGUUCUCUGUGUAACAAGGACAGAGGAGAAAGGCAUCUGCAGUGUCAAAUCUACAGAGACAAGUGCACCUGGAGACAAAUGACCAGACUACCAUAAAACAGAAGCUUAAUUAUGUUCACUUACAUUUUCAAAUUAUUCCCAACAAAUUACCCUGUUUUUCCAGGCAGAAGAAGCAGAGUGAAGAGAGGACAUUCCAAAUAAAAUGAAUGCUGAUCCUGCAUUGAGUGCAAGCAAAAAACUGUCAAGUUUUCCCUGGAUCUUUGGGCUUUCAUUUCUGAAGUCUCCUGUGUCACGUAAAACUUUGUUAAAUAAAUUUGUUAUGCUUUUAAAAAAAAAAAAAAA